RNAcentral lists this ribosomal RNA (253 nucleotides) under uncultured bacterium. RNAcentral describes it as "partial 16S ribosomal RNA". It matches the Rfam family "Bacterial small subunit ribosomal RNA", at positions 524 to 776 of the family's 1533-position model. The record is from RNAcentral.
UACGGAGGGGGCGAGCGUUAUUCGGAAUUAUUGGGCGUAAAGGGCGCGCAGGCGGCGAGGCAAGUCAAAGGUGAAAUCCCUCGGCUCAACCGAGGAACCGCCUUUGAAACUACCUCGCUCGAGGCCGGGAGGGGGUAGCGGAAUUCCCAGUGUAGCGGUGAAAUGCGUAGAUACUGGGAGGAACACCGGUGGCGAAGGCGGCGACCUGGACCGGUUCUGACGCUGAUGCGCGAAAGCGUGGGGAGCAAACAGG